Homo sapiens (human) is the source of this 1967-nucleotide long non-coding RNA. RefSeq lists it as uncharacterized. The transcript has 2 exons. NCBI's taxonomy places the organism in Eukaryota, Metazoa, Chordata, Mammalia, Primates, Hominidae. The record is from RefSeq and is a predicted model, not a curated record.
AGGAUGCCUCUCACUGCAAUGUGGAAAACAGAAAAGAGAUGUGGAAGAGUGGCAGUCAUGUAGCUAAGAGGUUUUCACGGUAAUCCAGGCCUUGAGACCAGAGGAUACAAUCAAUGGAGUGUGGCAAGAAAGGAGAACCAAGGGCUAAAUCUUGUGGAAUUUUAAAUGUGAGUACUCAGGAAAAAGAAGCAGACACAGGAAAUGAAUCGACAAAGUGGUGAAGAGUAAGAAGAGAGAAACCUGUGGAACACUGUGGCUUAAAUGAAGAAACAAUUUUAAAGAAAGAUGAUCAAUUCGACUGAAUAAUGCAGAUAGGUCACACCAUAGGACUGAUAGGAAAAUGACCAUUAGUUGCGUCCAGUUUCUGAGAAAUAGUGGGGAUGAAAGCCUGAUUGGAAUGGGUUUAAGGGAGAAUGAGAGGAGAGGAAAUGUGAAAGUGGGUAUGUGCAAAUCUUGCUGAGAGUUUUGCUCUAAAGGGUAAGAAAAAUGGAGAUGUAGCAGGGAAGAAAAGUGGGAGUAACAGAUUUUGGUAUUUUUUAACAAAAUUUUUAAGAUGAGAAAAAACAGAAGUACAUUUGUACAUUGAUGGGGAGGAUCCAGUAGAGACAGAAGGCUUUUUCUAAAAUUGAAGACAGAAUUGAAUUUUGAAUUGAAGACAAGAGUUUUUUGGUGGUCCAGUGAUUAUUGAACCAGAGAGGAUGUAUUUUGACAAUAGUAAGGAAGAUUAAAGAUAAAUAUUAUAAACAGCUUCCUGAUCAUACAGCAGUGAGACCAGAAGAUAUUAUCACAGGAAGUUAUUAAAAGUUAUCAUCCGAGUUUUAAAAGUCUUAACAUAAAUAAUAAUGUAACAGAUGGUCAUGGAGUGUUUCCAGCCCUAGAGCUAGUGGGCAUACAAGGGUGAGUGAAACCCAGUCUUAGUUUUCCGGAGUUCAUUAUAGGAGAGUUCACCAUAGGAGUAUGGACCCUAAAGGCAGGCUGGCUGGGUUGAAUCCUGGCUUUCUUAUUUGUUAGCUGUGUGGUCUUGGGUAGGUUACUUCAAUUUUCUCUGCCCCAGUUUGCAUAUUUGUAAAAUAAGGUAAUAGUAUGAUCCUCAUAGAUCAGUUAUGAAUAUUAAAUGAGCUAGCAUAGUUAAAGAAAUAACUUAUACAUAGCACAUAGUAUCUACAGCUACUUACUAGCUAUUCUGAGUCCAAUGUUAUAAGUGCUCAUUUAAUGGAAGAAGAUUAAAGUACAGUAUCAUGGCAGCAUACAGGAGACAGUUAUUCAUUUUGAUUUAGGGCUUAUAAGGAGUCCCAGAGUGCUUUACACAGAAGGUACAUUUAAAUGGACCCUGCAGAAUGAGUCAGACUUCACCAAGUAGCAUAAAGCUCAGCCGAGCCUAGAUAAGCAAAGGCUCAGAGUUUGAGCUUGCAGGGUGUGCUUGAGAGCAGGGAGAUCAGUAGUGUGAAGGUCAGGCUGGAAAGUUGUCACUGGAGAUAGGAUAGCAGGGCCUUGAAUGCCUUCUGUGGAAUUGCAGUCAUCUCUGACAGUAUUCAAAUAGGGAGUCCAGGGAGUAAAACAAGAGUAAACAGGGGUGGCCCCAGGCAGCACAAACUCAGCCUGCUUUCCUCUAACUUGCCAUCUUUCCCCCAGUUGAGUGGCAUCAGCAGCCACUCCCACUGCAUUUUUUUGCUGUUUUUUGGUUGGCCCUUUCUAUCCUCCUCAGUUUCCCACCACUUUUCAUAUUCCCUCUUGCCUUUAUAUACUUUCACAUUCUGUGCCCUGUGCUUGGCCACUUCUUAAUCUUCAAAGGCUCAGCUUGGACUAAGCUCUGGAGUUCUUCCUGACUUCUCUGGAUAGGAAGAAAAGAUUCUUCCUCCAGGCUCCCUGGGUGCUCUGGGCUUCUCCUGGCAGAGCAUUUAUCUCAUUUUAUUUUUUUAGUUUCAGCCUAAAAACCAAAAUAAAAGGAAAAAAUGACAAACCAAAAA